RNAcentral lists this ribosomal RNA (253 nucleotides) under uncultured bacterium. Its description in RNAcentral is "partial 16S ribosomal RNA". It matches the Rfam family "Bacterial small subunit ribosomal RNA", at positions 524 to 776 of the family's 1533-position model. The record is from RNAcentral.
UACGUAGGUGGCAAGCGUUAUCCGGAUUUACUGGGUGUAAAGGGCGUGUAGGCGGCUCCGCAAGUCAGAUGUGAAAUUCCCAGGCUUAACCUGGGCGCUGCAUCUGAAACUGCGGAACUUGAGUACUGGAGAGGAUAGUGGAAUUCCUAGUGUAGCGGUAAAAUGCGUAGAUAUUAGGAGGAACACCAGUGGCGAAGGCGGCUAUCUGGACAGUAACUGACGCUGAGGCGCGAAAGCGUGGGGAGCAAACAGG